Molecule: ribosomal RNA, 207 nt
Filed under: uncultured bacterium
Lineage: Bacteria
Description: partial 16S ribosomal RNA
Rfam family: Bacterial small subunit ribosomal RNA
Source: RNAcentral
CGCGUAGGCGGAUCAGUCAGUCAGGGGUGAAAUCCCGGGGCUCAACCCCGGAACUGCCUUUGAUACUGCUGGUCUAGAGGUCGAGAGAGGUGAGUGGAAUUCCGAGUGUAGAGGUGAAAUUCGUAGAUAUUCGGAGGAACACCAGUGGCGAAGGCGGCUCACUGGCUCGAUACUGACGCUGAGGUGCGAAAGCGUGGGGAGCAAACA